RNAcentral lists this ribosomal RNA (253 nucleotides) under uncultured bacterium. RNAcentral describes it as "partial 16S ribosomal RNA". It matches the Rfam family "Bacterial small subunit ribosomal RNA", at positions 524 to 776 of the family's 1533-position model. The record is from RNAcentral.
UACAGAGGGUGCAAGCGUUGUUCGGAAUUAUUGGGCGUAAAGGGCGCGUAGGCGGUGCGGUAAGUCUGUAGUGAAAUCUCUGGGCUCAACUCAGAGUCUGCUGCAGAAACUGCCGUGCUUGAGUGUGGGAGAGGUGAGUGGAAUUCCCGGUGUAGCGGUGAAAUGCGUAGAGAUCGGGAGGAACAUCAGUUGCGAAGGCGGCUCUCUGGACCAGCACUGACACUGAGGCACGAAAGCGUGGGGAGCAAACAGG